GCCUGACAGGGUUACUCUGAGUGGUUCCCGCUAAGGGGAUCUUUUGGCACCUCUAAAAAUGGUGCAGAAUAAGGGGUGGGCAAGCCUGGUGUCAGCCGCCGCGGUAAUACCAGCACCCCGAGUGGUCGGGACGAUUAUUGGGCCUAAAGCAUCCGUAGCCGGUCAUGCAAGUCUUCCGUUAAAUCCAGCCGCUCAACGGUUGGGCUGCGGAGGAUACUACGUGGCUAGGAGGCGGGAGAGGCAAGCGGUACUCAGUGGGUAGGGGUAAAAUCCUUUGAUCCAUUGAAGACCACCAGUGGCGAAGGCGGCUUGCCAGAACGCGCUCGACGGUGAGGGAUGAAAGCUGGGGGAGCAAACCGGAUUAGAUACCCGGGUAGUCCCAGCUGUAAACGAUGCAGACUCGGUGAUGGGAUGGCCUCGAGCUAUCCCAGUGCCGCAGGGAAGCCGUUAAGUCUGCCGCCUGGGGAGUACGGUCGCAAGACUGAAACUUAAAGGAAUUGGCGGG
Molecule: ribosomal RNA, 505 nt
Filed under: uncultured archaeon
Lineage: Archaea
Description: bacterial SSU rRNA
Rfam family: Archaeal small subunit ribosomal RNA
Source: RNAcentral